This 301-nucleotide ribosomal RNA is filed under the name uncultured bacterium. RNAcentral describes it as "partial 16S ribosomal RNA". It matches the Rfam family "Bacterial small subunit ribosomal RNA", at positions 509 to 807 of the family's 1533-position model. The record is from RNAcentral.
CAGCAGCCGCGGUAAUACGAAGGGGGCUAGCGUUGCUCGGAAUUACUGGGCGUAAAGCGCACGUAGGCGGCUAUGUAAGUUAGAGGUGAAAGCCUGGAGCUCAACUCCAGAAUUGCCUUUAAGACUGCGUGGCUAGCAGGUGAGAGAGGUGAGUGGAAUUCCGAGUGUAGAGGUGAAAUGCGUAGAGAUCGGAAGGAACAUCUGUGGCGAAGGCGACUAUCUGGGCCAACACUGACACUGAGGCACGAAAGCGUGGGGAGCAAACAGGAUUAGAUACCCCCGUAGUCCCUGUCUCUUAUAC